GAGACCUGCGUUCUUAUUUGCCACCGUGUCCGCAAGGACGAGCGAGCACAAUAAGAAGACUGUUUCGGAAACGGAGAGGAAGGUGCAGGCUACGCCAGGUCUGUACGGCCCGAAUCUCCUGGGCUACACGCGCGCAACAAUGGCUGGGACAAUGGGAUGCAACGCCGAAAGGCGAAGCGAAACCUCGAAACCCAGUCUUAGUUCGGAUUGAGGGUUGCAACUCACCCUCAUGACGUCGGAAUCCCUAGUAAUCAGACGUUAGCAUCGUCCGGUGAAUAU
RNAcentral lists this ribosomal RNA (279 nucleotides) under uncultured archaeon. RNAcentral describes it as "partial 16S rRNA". It matches the Rfam family "Archaeal small subunit ribosomal RNA", at positions 1047 to 1325 of the family's 1478-position model. The record is from RNAcentral.